RNAcentral lists this transfer RNA (76 nucleotides) under Bacillus cereus HuB4-4. RNAcentral describes it as "tRNA-Asp". It matches the Rfam family "tRNA". Rfam says of the family: Transfer RNA (tRNA) molecules are approximately 80 nucleotides in length. Their secondary structure includes four short double-helical elements and three loops (D, anti-codon, and T loops). The record is from RNAcentral. Lineage: Bacteria; Bacillati; Bacillota; Bacilli; Caryophanales; Bacillaceae.
GGUCCCGUGGUGUAGUGGUUAACAUGCCUGCCUAUCACGCAGGAGAUCGUCGGUUCGACCCCGGUCGGGACCGCCA